Molecule: ribosomal RNA, 468 nt
Filed under: uncultured bacterium
Lineage: Bacteria
Description: partial 16S ribosomal RNA
Rfam family: Bacterial small subunit ribosomal RNA
Source: RNAcentral
GACGAACGCUGGCGGCGUGCUUAACACAUGCAAGUCGAACGGAAAGGCCCUGCUUUUGUGGGGUGCUCGAGUGGCGAACGGGUGAGUAACACGUGAGUAACCUGCCCUUGACUUUGGGAUAACUUCAGGAAACUGGGGCUAAUACCGGAUAGGAGCUCCUGCUGCAUGGUGGGGGUUGGAAAGUUUCGGCGGUUGGGGAUGGACUCGCGGCUUAUCAGCUUGUUGGUGGGGUAGUGGCUUACCAAGGCUUUGACGGGUAGCCGGCCUGAGAGGGUGACCGGCCACAUGGGGACUGAGAGACGGACCAGACUCCUACGGGAGGCAGCAGUGGGGAAUAUUGCAGAAUGGGCGGAAGCCUGAUGCAGCAACGCCGCGUGCGGGAUGACGGCCUUCGGGUUGUAAACCGCUUUCGCCUGUGACGAAGAGUGAGUGACGGUAAUGGGUAAAGAAGCACCGGCUAACUACGUG